UACGAAGGGGGCUAGCGUUGUUCGGAAUCACUGGGCGUAAAGGGCGCGUAGGCGGCCGUUCAAGUCGGGGGUGAAAGCCUGUGGCUCAACCACAGAAUUGCCUUCGAUACUGGACGGCUCGAGACCGGAAGAGGUCAGUGGAACUGCGAGUGUAGAGGUGAAAUUCGUAGAUAUUCGCAAGAACACCAGUGGCGAAGGCGGCUGACUGGUCCGGUUCUGACGCUGAGGUGCGAAAGCGUGGGGAGCAAACAGG
RNAcentral lists this ribosomal RNA (253 nucleotides) under uncultured bacterium. Its description in RNAcentral is "partial 16S ribosomal RNA". It matches the Rfam family "Bacterial small subunit ribosomal RNA", at positions 524 to 776 of the family's 1533-position model. The record is from RNAcentral.